This is a small nuclear RNA of Rattus rattus (black rat), 103 nucleotides long. The record is from RefSeq and is a predicted model, not a curated record. NCBI's taxonomy places the organism in Eukaryota, Metazoa, Chordata, Mammalia, Rodentia, Muridae.
UUGCUUUUAGCAGCACAUAUUGUAAAAUUGGAAUGAUACAGAGAAAACUGGCAUAGCCCUUUGCAAGAAUCACAUGCAAAUUUAUGAAGUGGUCCAUAUUUAA